UGUAAUUUCACAAGGCUUUUAGAUUAGUUUUGCAUUUGAUUCAAGUUUGGGUAUAGGUUUGAAGUUAAAAUCAAGUUGUGAGUUAGUUUUGGCAAAUUCCCCUAUAUUAUAUGGGUCAAUAAGCUAAAUAUUGCAAUAUUUUCUGGUUUUUGUGCUUAAAUAUAAGUAAGAAAUAUUUCAACAUAAAAUUCAUCAGGGUCAAGUGAUCCACAUCCCAAAGAGUUGGCUCCGCCACUGGUCAGGACUUGUCGUUACCUAUCCAAGUCGAGAACAGGACUAUACACAACAGUUUCCCAAGUCCCAACGAUGAAAUAGCAGACUGGGUUGUAGAAAAGAAAUUCUACUGUCCAGAACAUCCUUGUGUAUGUAUCCAAGAAUAUAAAGAGUAUCCAUGCACCGCCAUUUUUAACAAAAUGAACUUUAUAAUUAAACCGUCCGACCACUACCAUUACUAGAGAGAGCGCAACCAGCCAGAUGAACAGCCUGUUAUUGUAUUCUUUGAUAAUAAUGACCGUGCCUUCCCCAUCAUCUUCACACAAGCUGUUCUUUCCAAAUCUGAUCUCGGUGUGUGUAUAUUAUUACCUUGGUUAACCUUUGCUCAUAGUUUUGUUUCGAUGGACCGCCACAUUGUUUUUCAGAAAUUUGGUUGCAGUACAUGAAACUUGCAUUGAAGUUGGCCAUGGAAGGGAGUUGGAGAGCUUGUAAGUGGUCCAUGUCGUCUUUACACUUUGUAUAUUGCGCCUCACAGAGCUUUGACGAUUGGUUGUUUUUAUGUAAAUAUCGAGAAAUAUUUUUAAUACAUUAAAAAUAACCGAUUCAAUUUUUUUAUCUAUAAAAAAAUCUAAAUUUUUGAAAAAAAAUUUUGGUCAAAUUAGAUCCUUUUAUAUCGGAAUCUUAGAAGAUGCAUAGCUUAAAUUAGAUAUGUUUCAAUUUUUUAUUCAUCUACAAAUAUACUUCUCUUUCUUUGUAAUUUUAAAACACCUGUAGUUCAUUAUCUAAGAUGAAAAAUGCUUUUCAACCUUCGCUUAUUGGUCUCUUUAUGGUCACAGUUCUUCUGUUCGGAGUAAUGACGAUUGCUCAAAAAGGAAUAUCAUCACGUUAUUCUUGUGCACUCAUGCACAAACCGAAAAAUGGAUGUAAUAGGGACAUUUGUCAAGCUGAAUGUACCAAAGAAAGGAAUGGGACUGCUGCAUGCAUAUACCCGGAAUGCGGAUGCUUUUAUCACAGAAAUAAAAAUAAUAAGUGUUUACCUUGAUUUUUUUUAUCUACAUCGGAACUCAAAUAAUAUUUAUAAUAAUACGCGCCUUUAUCAGAGGAAAAAUUAUAAUAUUAUUAAUUGUUGUUUGUGUUUGUGGCAUAAUAAAUUGUAUUAUCUUACCAAAUAUAAAUAUAAAUAACAAAUAUUA
Brassica napus (rape) is the source of this 1406-nucleotide long non-coding RNA. RefSeq lists it as uncharacterized. NCBI's taxonomy places the organism in Eukaryota, Viridiplantae, Streptophyta, Magnoliopsida, Brassicales, Brassicaceae. The transcript has 2 exons. The record is from RefSeq and is a predicted model, not a curated record.